This 253-nucleotide ribosomal RNA is filed under the name uncultured bacterium. Its description in RNAcentral is "partial 16S ribosomal RNA". It matches the Rfam family "Bacterial small subunit ribosomal RNA", at positions 524 to 776 of the family's 1533-position model. The record is from RNAcentral.
UACGGGGGGGGCAAGCGUUGUUCGGAAUUACUGGGCGUAAAGGGCUCGUAGGUGGCCAACUAAGUCAGACGUGAAAUCCCUCGGCUUAACCAAGGAAGUGCAUCCGAAACUGCAGUGCUUGAGUACUUAAGAGGAUCGCGGAAUUCCCGGUGUAGAGGUGAAAUUCGUAGAUAUCGGGAGGAGCACCAGUGGCGAAGGCGACUUCCUGGCCUGUUCUUGACGCUGAGGCGCGAAAGCGUGGGGAGCGAACAGG